RNAcentral lists this ribosomal RNA (254 nucleotides) under uncultured bacterium. RNAcentral's name for it is "partial 16S ribosomal RNA". It matches the Rfam family "Bacterial small subunit ribosomal RNA", at positions 524 to 776 of the family's 1533-position model. The record is from RNAcentral.
UACGAAGGGGGCUAGCGUUGCUCGGAAUUACUGGGCGUAAAGGGCGCGUAGGCGGAUAGUUUAGUUGGGGGGUGAAAGCCCGGGGCUCAACCUCGGAAUUGCCUUCAAUACUGGCUGUCUUGAGUGUGAGAGAGGUGUGUGGAACUCCGAGUGUAGAGGUGAAAUUCGUAGAUAUUCGGAAGAACACCAGUGGCGAAGGCGACACACUGGCUCACUACUGACGCUGAGGCGCGAAAGCGUGGGGAGCAAACAGG